GAGGGUACAGCUAAAGUGGUAGAGCGCAUGCUUAGCUCGCAUGAGGCCCUGGGUUCAACCCCCAGUGCCUCCU
RNAcentral lists this transfer RNA (73 nucleotides) under Camelus bactrianus (Bactrian camel). It matches the Rfam family "tRNA". Rfam says of the family: Transfer RNA (tRNA) molecules are approximately 80 nucleotides in length. Their secondary structure includes four short double-helical elements and three loops (D, anti-codon, and T loops). RNAcentral also lists the same sequence under 1 other name. The record is from Rfam by way of RNAcentral. Lineage: Eukaryota; Metazoa; Chordata; Mammalia; Artiodactyla; Camelidae.